Molecule: long non-coding RNA, 1793 nt
Organism: Mobula hypostoma (lesser devil ray)
Lineage: Eukaryota; Metazoa; Chordata; Chondrichthyes; Myliobatiformes; Myliobatidae
Exons: 5
Source: RefSeq, a predicted model, not a curated record
GCUGGGUGUGUCUGCACCCACACCAGCUCCCACUCCUGAUGCUACUUCUCCGCCGUCUGUUCACAGCACUCCAUCCUCACCUCCCAACAUCCUUUGCUCCAGCCAGAUUGACAAACUCACUCUCCACCCCAUGUUGACAAACACAGUACGAUGCAAAAGUCUUAGGCACCCUUUGCAUAGGUUAUAAGUGUCUAUAUGGAGCACCAGGAUUCCGAUUUGUCAGAGUUGCUGGGGCAGUGUGGCUCGAAGUGCCUACUCCAUGCUGUAUUGUUAAAUAAAUAAAAUAGGAAUUCUGCAGAUGCUGGAAAUUCAAGCAACACACAUCAAAGUUGCUGGUGAACGCAGCAGGCCAAGCAGCAUCUAUAGGAAGAGGCGCAGUCGACGUUUCGGGCCGAGACCCUUCGUCAGGACUAACUGAAGGAAGAGACAUAGAAGAGACAACUUAGAUUCAGCAAAGCUGGUGGGUCUGGGGUCACACGCAGGCCGGAGCAGGGUGGAUGAGUUCUGUCAGUGCCCGUGACUUGCAGCCGCGUGUCUUGAUAGCCCCAGGACACGGCCUGGAAGGUGAGCACGCCUUCGGGUUUCCGAGGCCUGCAGACCUGUGGAUGAGGCAUUUCUAUGCCGGUGGUGCCAACUGAAGCAUCACAGGAGAAAACGGAAUGCUGGGAGCAGCAGAUCAUCUGUUGGAGCUCUCUACACUCAGCAAACCACUCUCUCUCUCUCUCUCUCUCAAAACACACAUCAAAGUUGCUGGUGAAUGCAGCAGGCCAGGCAGCAUCUCUAGGAAGAGGUACAGUCGACGUUUCAGGCCGAGACUCUUCGUCAGGACUAACUGAAGAAAGAGCUAGUUCUUUUGAAGACCCUGACCUGGAGUUACACUCUGACUUUGUUUCUUUUUGGAAAUGGGACCCCCUUUCAGGGCCUCAGAACUGACCGCUUUUCGAUAUGCCAAGGACGUGGCCUGGAAGACUAAUGCGCCUUCAAGGUGCCGGAUUUUCGUGGCCCUGGAAACGGGCUGAUCCAAAGCUGGUGCCACCGACUGAUGUGUUGUGGGAGUACACGGAAGUUCUGAAGCAGCAAGCUGGCUGCUGGCUAUGUGCCCAGAGGCCUGAGUUCUUUGGGCACAGAGCUUGAAAAAAGCGACACAACAGACUUUUAGCAGCAUAAAUCAGCGAGUUGUUUUGUUAUGUCUCCCCUCUCGCUGUGAAACAGGGACACCUUUUUUUCCCUUAUUAGAGAGUGAAAGAGGUUGUGGUAUGUCAAAUUACCAGGUGAAUGAAUAGUCUUUGGGGUACUGCAAGUUUUUGUCUUUAUUGAUGCUUUGCUGCACACUUGAGUGCCUGGUGGGGGGGCGCCGAUGAUUUUCUGCUAGUGGGGGAGGGGUGGUAGUUGCUUUGCUGCUGUUUAUGCAUGGGAGGGGGGAGUUCGGGGGGGGCUUUGGGGUUCUAACAUUUAACUGUCAGUCAUUCUUUGGGGCACUCCUCUGUUUUCAUGGAUAUUUGUGAAGAAAAAGAAUUUCAGAAUGUAUAUUGUAUACAUUUCUUUGACAUUAAAUGUACCUAUUGAAAAUAGCAUCAUUUCUAAGUAGUGUUGUUACUGUACCUUACAUAUAAAACUUAAGAUAUGUAAAUGCAAAAUUAUAAGAUUUCGUGCACAUUCAUAGAAGUUCAAGGAAAGGAAAAUAAACACACUUUAAUCUCAGUAAGACUAUUGUUAUUGAACCAAUGAUGACAAAUAUUUUAUAUCCAAAAAAGAUUUUAUAUUUGAUAUCAGAUGGGUAGGUAUUCCCACCC